Molecule: ribosomal RNA, 368 nt
Filed under: uncultured bacterium
Lineage: Bacteria
Description: bacterial SSU rRNA
Rfam family: Bacterial small subunit ribosomal RNA
Source: RNAcentral
AACGAACGCUGGCGGCAGGCUUAACACAUGCAAGUCGAACGCGUGCAGCAAUGCACGAGUGGCGCACGGGUGAGUAACGCGUGGAUAUCCGCCUUCUGGUUCGGAAUAACCCCGGGAAACUGGGGCUAAUACCGAAUGGUUCCUACGGGAUAAAGAUUUAUCGCCAGAAGAUGAGUCCGCGUCCGAUUAGCUAGUUGGUGAGGUAACGGCUCACCAAGGCGACGAUCGGUAGCNGGUCUGAGAGGACGAUCAGCCACACUGGGACUGAGACACGGCCCAGACUCCUACGGGAGGCAGCAGUGGGGAAUAUUGGACAAUGGGGCAACCCUGAUCCAGCCAUGCCGCGUGAGUGAUGAAGGCCUUCGGUU